AGAGGGUUAGUCCAACGAAGACUUCUAAUUUCGGCUUAGACAAUUAUGGUGAAACUCCAUAACCCUCUU
Molecule: transfer RNA, 69 nt
Filed under: Thryssa baelama (Baelama anchovy)
Lineage: Eukaryota; Metazoa; Chordata; Actinopteri; Clupeiformes; Engraulidae
Description: tRNA-Arg
Source: RNAcentral